This 394-nucleotide ribosomal RNA is filed under the name Escherichia coli. RNAcentral describes it as "partial 23S ribosomal RNA". It matches the Rfam family "Bacterial large subunit ribosomal RNA", at positions 1495 to 1869 of the family's 2925-position model. The record is from RNAcentral. Lineage: Bacteria; Pseudomonadati; Pseudomonadota; Gammaproteobacteria; Enterobacterales; Enterobacteriaceae.
GCGACGGUUGUCCCGGUUUAAGCGUGUAGGCUGGUUUUCCAGGCAAAUCCGGAAAAUCAAGGCUGAGGCGUGAUGACGAGGCACUACGGUGCUGAAGCAACAAAUGCCCUGCUUCCAGGAAAAGCCUCUAAGCAUCAGGUAACAUCAAAUCGUACCCCAAACCGACACAGGUGGUCAGGUAGAGAAUACCAAGGCGCUUGAGAGAACUCGGGUGAAGGAACUAGGCAAAAUGGUGCCGUAACUUCGGGAGAAGGCACGCUGAUAUGUAGGUGAAGCGACUUGCUCGUGGAGCUGAAAUCAGUCGAAGAUACCAGCUGGCUGCAACUGUUUAUUAAAAACACAGCACUGUGCAAACACGAAAGUGGACGUAUACGGUGUGACGCCUGCCCGGUGC